RNAcentral lists this ribosomal RNA (496 nucleotides) under uncultured bacterium. RNAcentral's name for it is "partial 16S ribosomal RNA". It matches the Rfam family "Bacterial small subunit ribosomal RNA", at positions 28 to 506 of the family's 1533-position model. The record is from RNAcentral.
GAUGAACGCUGGCGGCGUGCCUAAUACAUGCAAGUCGAGCGAACAGACGAGGAGCUUGCUCCUCUGACGUUAGCGGCGGACGGGUGAGUAACACGUGGAUAACCUACCUAUAAGACUGGGAUAACUUCGGGAAACCGGAGCUAAUACCGGAUAAUAUAUUGAACCGCAUGGUUCAAUAGUGAAAGACGGUUUUGCUGUCACUUAUAGAUGGAUCCGCGCAGCAUUAGCUAGUUGGUAAGGUAACGACUUACCAAGGCAACGAUGCGUAGCCGACCUGAGAGGGUGAUCGGCCACACUGGAACUGAGACACGGUCCAGACUCCUACGGGAGGCAGCAGUAGGGAAUCUUCCGCAAUGGGCGAAAGCUUGACGGAGCAACGCCGCGUGAGUGAUGAAGGUCUUCGGAUCGUAAAACUCUGUUAUUAGAGAAGAACAAAUGUGUAAAUAACUAUGCACGUCUUGACGGUACCUAAUCAGAAAGCCACGGCUAACUACGU